Molecule: ribosomal RNA, 496 nt
Filed under: uncultured bacterium
Lineage: Bacteria
Description: bacterial SSU rRNA
Rfam family: Bacterial small subunit ribosomal RNA
Source: RNAcentral
AUGAACGCUAGCGACAGGCCUAACACAUGCAAGUCGAGGGGCAGCACAAGGAGCAAUCUGAGGUGGCGACCGGCGCACGGGUGAGUAACACGUAUGCAACCUGCCUGUAAGCGGGGAAUAACCCGUUGAAAGACGGACUAAUACCGCAUAAUACUAAAUUACUGCAUGGUAAUUUAUUUAAACAUUUAUGGCUUACAGAUGGGCAUGCGCAUGAUUAGCUAGUUGGGGAGGUAACGGCUCCCCAAGGCAACGAUCAUUAGGGGUUCUGAGAGGAAGGUCCCCCACACUGGUACUGAGACACGGACCAGACUCCUACGGGAGGCAGCAGUGAGGAAUAUUGGUCAAUGGACGAGAGUCUGAACCAGCCAAGUCGCGUGCAGGAAGAAUGUCCUUAAUGGAUUGUAAACUGCUUUUGCAGGGGAAUAAAGUGCAUCACGUGUGAUGUUUUGUAUGUACUCUGCGAAUAAGGAUCGGCUAACUCCGUGCCAGCAGCUGC